UUUUGGACAAUGGGGGCAACCCUGAUCCAGCAAUGCCGCGUGAGUGAAGAAGGCCUUCGGGUUGUAAAGCUCUUUUGUCAGGGAAGAAACACCGGCUCUAACACAGUCCGGGAAUGACGGUACCUGAAGAAUAAGCACCGGCUAACUACGUGCCAGCAGCCGCGGUAAUACGUAGGGUGCAAGCGUUAAUCGGAAUUACUGGGCGUAAAGCGUGCGCAGGCGGUUAUACAAGACAGGCGUGAAAUCCCCGGGCUUAACCUGGGAAUGGCGCCUGUGACUGUAUAGCUAGAGUGUGUCAGAGGGGGGUAGAAUUCCACGUGUAGCAGUGAAAUGCGUAGAUAUGUGGAGGAAUACCAAUGGCGAAGGCAGCCCCCUGGGAUAACACUGACGCUCAUGCACGAA
RNAcentral lists this ribosomal RNA (402 nucleotides) under uncultured bacterium. RNAcentral's name for it is "bacterial SSU rRNA". It matches the Rfam family "Bacterial small subunit ribosomal RNA", at positions 362 to 757 of the family's 1533-position model. The record is from RNAcentral.